ACGGGUAGCCGGCCUGAGAGGGUGUCCGGCCACACUGGGACUGAGAUACGGCCCAGACUCCUACGGGAGGCAGCAGUGGGGAAUAUUGCACAAUGGGCGCAAGCCUGAUGCAGCGACGCCGCGUGGGGGAUGACGGCCUUCGGGUUGUAAACCUCUUUCACCAUCGACGAAGGUCCGGGUUCUCUCGGAUUGACGGUAGGUGGAGAAGAAGCACCGGCCAACUACGUGCCAGCAGCCGCGGUAAUACGUAGGGUGCGAGCGUUGUCCGGAAUUACUGGGCGUAAAGAGCUCGUAGGUGGUUUGUCGCGUUGUUCGUGAAAUCUCACGGCUUAACUGUGAGCGUGCGGGCGAUACGGGCAGACUAGAGUACUGCAGGGGAGACUGGAAUUCCUGGUGUAGCGGUGGAAUGCGCAGAUAUCAGGAGGAACACCGGUGGCGAAGGCGGGUCUCUGGGCAGUAACUGACGCUGAGGAGCGAAAGCGUGGGGAGCGAACAGGAUUAGAUACCCUGGUAGUCCACGCCGUAAACGGUGGGUACUAGGUGUGGGUUUCCUUCCUUGGGAUCCGUGCCGUAGCUAACGCAUUAAGUACCCCGCC
Molecule: ribosomal RNA, 596 nt
Filed under: Mycobacterium tuberculosis
Lineage: Bacteria; Bacillati; Actinomycetota; Actinomycetes; Mycobacteriales; Mycobacteriaceae
Description: bacterial SSU rRNA
Rfam family: Bacterial small subunit ribosomal RNA
Source: RNAcentral